UAAGAUACUAUCUAACUUGUGUUGUAUUGUAUUUUGUGGGUAAAACAUGAUAUUUGAUGAAGAAUUUGAGAAAAUAAUGCAAAAAUAGUGAAAAUGGGCCAAAAUCCAAAAGUCAAGGACUAAACUGCAAAUAAUUCAUAUGUGAGACGGGCAACAAAAUGAAGAUUGAAGAUACAAAAAUUUAAUUGGAUACAAUUGGAAGAUACACGAACAAGAUUACUGGUAAAAGGGUUGAAAUGAAGCAAACUCAAAGUUCAGGGACUAAAGUGCAAAUAUUAGAAAUUUGUGUCGAACCUCACAAUAAAGAUUUGAGAGUGUUAUGGGUCAAUUGGAUGAGAAAAUAAGUCAGGA
Molecule: long non-coding RNA, 351 nt
Filed under: Olea europaea (common olive)
Lineage: Eukaryota; Viridiplantae; Streptophyta; Magnoliopsida; Lamiales; Oleaceae
Description: long non-coding RNA (OEUR_LNC012751)
Source: RNAcentral